This 554-nucleotide ribosomal RNA is filed under the name uncultured bacterium. Its description in RNAcentral is "partial 16S ribosomal RNA". It matches the Rfam family "Bacterial small subunit ribosomal RNA", at positions 355 to 900 of the family's 1533-position model. The record is from RNAcentral.
UAGGGAAUCUUCCACAAUGGACGCAAGUCUGAUGGAGCAACGCCGCGUGAGUGAAGAAGGCUUUCGGGUCGUAAAGCUCUGUUGUUGGUGAAGAAGGAUAGAGGCAGUAACUGGUCUUUAUUUGACGGUAAUCAACCAGAAAGUCACGGCUAACUACGUGCCAGCAGCCGCGGUAAUACGUAGGUGGCAAGCGUUGUCCGGAUUUAUUGGGCGUAAAGCGAGCGCAGGCGGAAUGAUAAGUCUGAUGUGAAAGCCCACGGCUCAACCGUGGAACUGCAUCGGAAACUGUCAUUCUUGAGUGCAGAAGAGGAGAGUGGAACUCCAUGUGUAGCGGUGGAAUGCGUAGAUAUAUGGAAGAACACCAGUGGCGAAGGCGGCUCUCUGGUCUGCAACUGACGCUGAGGCUCGAAAGCAUGGGUAGCGAACAGGAUUAGAUACCCUGGUAGUCCAUGCCGUAAACGAUGAGCGCUAGGUGUUGGGGACUUUCCGGUCCUCAGUGCCGCAGCAAACGCAUUAAGCGCUCCGCCUGGGGAGUACGACCGCAAGGUUGAAAC